UAUCACUUAAAGCGAUUCAGCGGGUUACGAUUGACGGAGCGAAGCGACGUCAAAGCGUAUACAAAGUCGAGUCGGUUUAAGGAUACGUUCGUUGGGUAGGGGAGCGUUCUGUAAGCCUGUGAAGGUGUGUCGUGAGGCAUGCUGGAGGUAUCAGAAGUGCGAAUGCUGACAUAAGUAACGAUAAAGCGGGUGAAAAGCCCGCUCGCCGGAAGACCAA
RNAcentral lists this ribosomal RNA (217 nucleotides) under Salmonella enterica subsp. enterica serovar London. Its description in RNAcentral is "partial 23S ribosomal RNA". It matches the Rfam family "Bacterial large subunit ribosomal RNA", at positions 1157 to 1348 of the family's 2925-position model. The record is from RNAcentral. Lineage: Bacteria; Pseudomonadati; Pseudomonadota; Gammaproteobacteria; Enterobacterales; Enterobacteriaceae.